Molecule: long non-coding RNA, 6189 nt
Filed under: Sus scrofa (pig)
Lineage: Eukaryota; Metazoa; Chordata; Mammalia; Artiodactyla; Suidae
Description: lncRNA (ENSSSCG00005024881.1)
Source: RNAcentral
AAACAGCAUAAAUUAUAAGAGCCUUAUAACCCAGCUGCUCUAAGAACGGAAGAAGGCUGUACUUUUCCCCCAACAUUUGUGCACUACACACCCCCUAAUUCCCUUAACAAAAAACUGUGUGCCUUGCCCAAAUUUUAGGCUUAAAGGUAACUGACUUAAACAUGAUAUAUUCAAUGUUAUGUGUAGUUGAAGUCUUUGUUGAAGUUGAUUUUGACUAUCCCACUCCAUAAAGCACAAUUUCCAGAUAAAGGGUUUAUAGAAUAUUGUUAGUUUUCAUUUUUAUAUUUAUUAAUACAAUUGAACAUCCAUCUCACUGCAUUAUUAAGCGAAUCUACAUCUUUUUUAAUCACUGUACUCUGAGAACUUUGCCAAAGAUUUGUUUCUUUCUUUUUGUCUUUUUAGGGCUGCACCUGCAGCAUAUGGAAGGCUAGGAGUCGAAUUGGAGCUGUAGCUGCCAGCCUACACCACAACCACAGCAAUGCUAGAUUCGAGCUGCAUCUUCAUCUUACACUGCAGCUCACACCAAUGCCAGAUCCUUCACCCACCGAGUGAGGCCAGGGAUCAAACCUGCAUCCUUAUGGAUACUAGUAGGGUUUGUUACUGCUAAGCCACAAAGGGGACCCAAUAAAUGUCUUUCUGAAGGCAAGAUGCACAAUGUUUGACUCUACUUAUCUCUUCUAUCAAAUAGAUGAUGAUGUUGGUUUGGCAUGACUAUCUUUUGGGGAGUUCUAAUUUAUUUCAAGGGAUGUCUUCUAUUUUCCUAUUGUUCACAACCAUCUGUUUAACAACCUUUUCUAAAGAGAACCUUUCUACUCUGUUGGUGAGAAUGUAAAAUGGUACAGCCACUAUGGAAGUUCCUCAAAAAACUAAAAAUAGAACCUGGAAAAAGCCUAAAUGUCCAUUGUCAGGUGAAUGGAUAAAUAAAAUGUGGUACAAACACAUAAUGGAAUAUUAUUUGGCCAUAAAAAGAAUCAAUGCCAUUUGCAGCAACAUGGAUGGAACUAGAGAUAUCAUACUAAGUGAAGUAAGUCAGAAAGAGAAAGACAAAUGCUUGUGGUUGCCAAUGGGUGGGGGGGAGCAGAAGGAUGGAGUGGGAAUUUGGGAUUAGCAGAUGCAAACUAUUAUAUAUAGAAUGGAUAAACAACAAGGCCCUACUCUAGAGCACAGGGAACUAUAUUCAAUAUCCUGCGAUAAACCAUAAUGGAAAAGAAAACGAAAAAUAAUGUGUGUAUAUACAUAAAACUGAAUCACUGUGCUGUACAGCAGAAAUUAACACAACACUAUAAAUCAGGUAUACUUCAGUGAAACACAUUAAAAAAAAACUAACCUUUUUCCAGAAUACAAAUAGUAUGGUGCAUAACACAGACAGUCAAAAACCUUUGGUGGAGAGAAUCACCUUCCAGCUCAUGGAUGAAGGAUGUCCUACUUUACAAUUCACGCUGUAGUCAGUUCCCUGAAUAGUCCUCACUUAGUAGAUCCUUUCCCGAGGACAGAGUCUUGCUUUCCCCUCCUUCCUUUUCUUCUUCUUCCUCCUUUCCUUUCAUAAAGCUUUGUGAAGGGCUUACUGUCUGACAGAGGUGAGGGAGAUGUGGAGUAUGGUAUUUAGUUCUGAGAAGCAACACUGAGAGAAAUGAUAAUAUAUUGAACAAUUCUUUAUCUUGUUAUCCUAUUUAAUAACUGGUACUUUGCUUUUAAAUUGAUUUAGGAUAUACUUACAUAGGUGUUUGCUAUGUUUUAGCCAUUUUUUAAAAUUAAUUUUUUAUUACUAUUAUAGUUAGUUGAUUUACAAUGUUUCUUCAAGUUCUGUUGUAUAGCAAAAUGACCCAAUCACACACAUUUUCCUGUGCGGUACAGUAGGGCCCCAUUGCCCAUCCAUUCCAAAUACAACAGUUUGCAUCCAAAAAACCUCCCAAACGUCCAUCUAUCCUACUCCCUCCACUUUCCCCUGGAGGGGGCUUUACAAUCAUUGUUUUAAGGACUUUACAAUCAUUAAUUCAUGUAAUCUUUAUACGAAGGAACUAUUAUCAUUCCUAUUUUAUAGAUGAGAAAACUGAAGCACAAAGCUGAUAACAGGUGGAGCCUGGAUUCAAACCCAAGGAGUCUGGCUCCAUGGUCUGUGCUUUUAGUGACUGUAUUAUGCUGCUAUGGAAGUAAGAGAGGCAAAAUCAUCAUAUGAUGUCCCUUUCAACAUAGAAGACAAUACAAAGCAAAAUGAAUGGAAAAAUGAACAAAAAGCACAAAAGAAAGAAGAGAUGCACAAAACCCAUCAUACUUCUCUUAUUAGAAGAUGUAUAAAACAUGAUAGAUCUUCAGGUGUACACAUACCUCCAUCAGUUAAAUGUCUUUUAAUGUUGAGAUGCUGCAACAGGGCCCUAUAGCCAAAUCAAUCUUUCCCAGAAAUUUUCCCCCUUACUGAAAUUUAAAAACCUUUUGUUUUCUGCCCUUUCUGGUAUCACUAGCAGCAGCCCUAAACCUCAGGCAGCUUCUCCCCAAAUUCUGCUCUAGGAUAGUUUCACUUCUCCACUGAUUACAUAAUAUUCUAAUGUAAUAUACCCCUUAUCUGUUUCUCCCAUGACAUGAUGGUAUUCCACAAUUUAUUUUGUCCAAUACCUUGUGCUUUCUUUUACCAAGCAGCCUAAAAUUGAAUCUUGAUCAAAUAUAUUAUAGGCACGGCCAUAGGUUAUAGCUAGCUAUGGAAAACAGCAACUGCUACUUUGUGAGAUUUUAGAAGUUCUCAAAGUACAAGUUAAAGCUAAAUUGACUUUUCUAUUUAAGGAGACUGACGCUCUUUCUCUGUUCAUAUUGCAAAGGAUAAUAUGUGUUUUGAAAAAUUUUUUAUGAAUUCUUUUAGGUAAGGUUUUCAAAACUAAAAAGUCUCUCCCAUCUGGGUAGAAAUCUUGAACAUCUUCAUAGACAGUCUUGCAAUUUUUAAAAAGCUUACUGUAUUAGGCAUAGAGAACAGACUUGUGUUGCCAGGGGGAGGGAGAAGGGAGUGGAGUGGACAGGGAGUUUGGAGUUGGUAGAUGCAAACUACUACAUUUAGAAUGGAGAAGCAAUGAGGUCCUACUGUACAACAUGGCAAACUAUAUACAAUCUCUUGGGAUAGAACAUGAUGCAAGAUAGGAUGAAGAAAAAAAUGUACACACACACACACACACAUAUAUAGAUAUGACUGGGUGACUAUGCUGUACAGCAGAUACUGAAACAAUACUGUAAAUCAACUAUACUUUACAAAUAAAUAAAUACAAUUUAAAAAAUAAAAUAAAAUAGAAAGCUUAACUCUAUUAAAUAUAAAAAGAGUACCUGGAGUUUCCCAAAUAAGUACUUUUCAGGGAGUAAUACUUAAUUGCACAAGGCUGCAGUUCAAAUAUUCCUGAAGAUGUAAGUAGGAAAACUUUCAAGCUUCAAACUAUUUCUUUAAUAAUAAAUAUAAAAGUGUUACUGGAUUAUUAAUGUGGAUGUCAAAGGUAAAGUUAUUGUUUGAUAUUUUAGCAAUUCCCCAGACCAAUCUGAAUUCUUUUUUUUUAAAAUUACCUAAAGAAAUAAACUUUUCUUUUGGAGCCAUGAUCCCAGAUUAGAACAGAUACGGAAGGCUGUCAGAUAAAGGAGGGAUAUCAAAUAGCACUUAUUGCAAAGUUUCAAUUCAGUGGUGCUCCAAAAUGAUGGAAUUCAUAUAAAGAACACAUGGGAAGUUUUUUGACUUUUGUUUUUCUUCCGAAUCCUUUUUUCUCCAUGGAGCUUACCUCUCUCUUUUAUGACAGGAAGGAUUCCAGAACUACUGCACACUGCACUUUAGGGAAGCUAUUUCCCCUUCCCCAUCUUUCCUUCUCUGUACCACAGAGCAGCUGUCAGGGAAUGUCUGAGUAGUACAUGGUGCCCUUUUUCUCUGUGAAGGGAAAACCUUCCUGCUCCUUUUUAUUAGCAGGUAUAUCUGACAAAGUGGUGAUCAGAUAUUUCUUGUUUCUAAAUUGAGGGACCUCAACUACAUCCAUCUAUGACCUAAUGGAACCCCAGAAUUUGGAGAAAGUUGCCAGAAGGAAAGGAUGGGUGAAGAGCCUUGGUGGUCAAUACCAUUCUGAAAGCAUGAUGCAGUCCCUCAGGCUCAUUAUUUUAUUUAAUGGAAUGUCUGUCAUCAUUGAUGAACAAAACAUUUUACCAAAGCUAUGUCAUCCAAGGACUUCAGAUUCAAAAGAAAUGUCAUUUUGCAUUGGUUAGUAAAUUUAAUUUUCUUCUUCUCCAUUCUGAUGAUACAAAUCUUUCUUCUCACGUUGAGACAAUAUUUGGCUUUCAUGAUUAAGCAACAUGGGAACUGCUAUGUAUUGUGAGCAGCUCACCACUCUCUUUAAAUAAACACAUUGCUGAGGUAGUCUCACUUUGACUAUUUCAAUACAUACUUAGUGCUUUAAGAGCACCUAAUUUAUAUCCAGCCUGACACAGUCAUGAAUGUACAAAGAACAGUGACACCAGUGGACUCAAAUGGAGACCUAAACUCAAGGAUAAAGAAGAAUCUACCAAGUUCAAUUCCUGUGCCAAGGCCAAUAAAAAGGAUGCUGGUAUUGCCAACCACAGGGUGCACUGUGCUUGGCUUUGAGGUGAGCCAUCUUGAUUAAGCCCUCACAAAAAUCUCAUGAGAUAUAUGGUAUUUUCUCCUAGUUUAUAGAUAGAGAACAAAGUCCAGAAAUCAAGUAAUUAUCUCAGUCCCAUAGCUGCUAAAUAGUAGAACUAGAAUCCUUCUAACUACAAGUUUCAGGAUUUUUUUCUCUAGUAUAUCUGGGUCCAGUCAUCUACCAAUUUGACAAUGGCUAAGCGAUAUUGAUGCAUAAGGUCUUUGCUCACCAAGGACUCAUUUUCCUUCCAUCUUCUAUUAUAAUGAAAUCCUUAUAUACUGAGGUAACAGGUAGAGAUUCUUUAAUUAAGGAAGGCUGUACUCAUUCUACAAGUCUAAGGGUUGAAUCACAACUGAUUUAAACUAAUCAUCUUCUCAUUUCCCUUGACUAGACUGAUACGAGCGGCCACUGGUAAGGUGCCAGUGAAAUAUAAUGGAAAGAUGUCAGUAAUGACUUCUCUUUCAGAAUUAAAAGACAAAGAUGAGAAGGUCUUCUGUUUUUAUACUUUGCCUCCUGCUUUGAACAUGGACAUGAUUCUUGGUGGUGCAAUAAUCACCCUGCAACCAUGAGGCAACAAGGAUGGGGAAAACCAAUGUGCUAAGAAAUAGUCAAAGUAAAGAUGGAAAGGAUAUUUGCUCCUGAUGCCAAUGUUGAACAGUGAAUUCAAGAUCAACACCUGCCGUCCUCUAGACUAUUUCAUAUUUGAGACAAGUAAGCACUUAAUAUUCUAGGCCAUUAAUAGAGUAUUCUAUCAUUUGCAGCUGAACAUUUUCACUACAAAUAUAGUUAUAAAGUCAAUACCUUAGAAUAGAAUGUGCUGUUUGACUUACAAUGCAAAAAGCCUUAGUUUGUGUUGGCUACUUAGAUGAUGAUGAAAACACGUGAGUACAUUAAACCCUAAGGCAGAUCCAAAUGUGCCCUUUUUUCCCUUAUAGAUCAUUAAUAAAGAACCCUUUUCUACAUGGAGAUGUUUAAAAAUUUUGCCAUAUGAGUCUGUACUAUAGACUUUACUGAAUAUUUUAAAUUUCAAUGUAAAAAAUCUUCCUGUCACUAAGAUACUCAAAAUAUUUCCUUAAAUAGAAGUCUUCAUCUGCACAGAUUUAAUGAGUACUAACUCUAUGCUGAGUGUGGGGAUUCAGAAAUCAUAAGAAACUAAUUCUAAUAGUGGAUAUGGAAAAUGGAACCAAGCAUUCAUUAAAUUAAAGCACUAGGAGCAACUUCUGCCUGAAGGGGUUGGGAAACAUGUGAAAGAAGGGAAAUCUACCGGGAACUGUGGAAUCUGAGUUAAGGAGUUGUUUGGGGAUGAAGCAGGGCAAAAGCCAUUGAGAGACAGGGAAGCCAUCUGUUGUAAAGAGAGGGAGUCACAGAACAGUAUGGCAGCCAUGUGAGUAGAGAGAACUAGAAGAGGUAGGAUGAUGGGAGAUGAGAUCAGAGAGGAUAGCUGGACAGAUCAUCAACUUCUUUUGAUGCUCUGAUCAACUGCUUAGAGUUUAUCCUAAAGACAAUGCACAGCAAUAGAAGGUCUUUAAACAGUGGAGGGAGAGAGAGAUUUGGGGAGAGAAUUCAUUAUUUCAAUAUUUUU